GGGGAAGAUGGUGAGAAUCCAUCACGGUGCCGCCACUGUAAACGGGGAGUGACCCUGCCGCAACGCCACUGUGGACGUCGUUCCAUGGGAAGGCGCAGGGAAACGUCGAUCCGUGAGUCAGGAGACCC
This 128-nucleotide non-coding RNA is filed under the name Nitrospira japonica. The record is from RNAcentral. Lineage: Bacteria; Pseudomonadati; Nitrospirota; Nitrospiria; Nitrospirales; Nitrospiraceae.